AUGCAAAAUCCAAGUAGAGGAACCAAGUUGCGAUUCCUUACUUGGCCAAGUGUCUUCAUUUCUGAAGUGAACUGUGAUUCAGAAUGUUGUGAAUCUUGUAGCCUUUUGACAGCAAGAAAAGAACCAUCAGGUAGCACUGCCCUGUACAUAGUCCCUGUCCUUCCAGUAGCUAUGAUGUUUUCCUUGCUGAACUGUUUGGUGGCCUUCAUAAGAUCACUUAGUUUCAUCUUUGAAACUGGAUUCUCAAACAUAGACACCUGGAUAAUUGACAAAACCAUGACAACAACAAACGAACACAACUAUUGCAACAAUUAUGAUCACAACUACGACGCCAACAAUAGCUCCAACGAUUGCCGCAUUGUUCUUGCUCUUUGCUGA
Molecule: ribosomal RNA, 378 nt
Filed under: Triticum aestivum (bread wheat)
Lineage: Eukaryota; Viridiplantae; Streptophyta; Magnoliopsida; Poales; Poaceae
Description: partial small subunit ribosomal RNA
Source: RNAcentral